This 406-nucleotide ribosomal RNA is filed under the name uncultured bacterium. Its description in RNAcentral is "partial 16S ribosomal RNA". It matches the Rfam family "Bacterial small subunit ribosomal RNA", at positions 30 to 526 of the family's 1533-position model. The record is from RNAcentral.
AUUGAACGCUGGCGGCAGGCCUAACACAUGCAAGUCGAACGAGUGGCGGACGGGUGAGUAAUGUCUGGGAAACUGCCUGAUGGAGGGGGAUCACUACUGGAAACGGUAGCUAAUACCGCAUACCAUCGGAUGUGCCCAGAUGUGAUUAGCUAGUAGGUGGGGUAAAGGCUCACCUAGUCGACGAUCCCUAGCUGGUCUGAGAGGAUGACCAGCCACACUGGAACUGAGACACGGUCCAGACGCCUACGGGAGGCAGCAGGGGGGAAUAUUGCACAAUGGGCGCAAGCCUGAUGCAGCCAUGCCGCGUGGAUGAAGAAGGCAUUCGGGUUGUAAAGUACUUUCAGCGGGGAGGCGUUACCCGAAGAAGAAGCACCGGCUAACUCCGUGCCAGCAGCCGCGGUAAUUC